AUGGGUUCACUGUUGUCUUUACUCUGGGUUCACUGUUGUAUUUUCUCUGGGUGCAAAAUUGUCUUUCCUCUGAGUUCACUGUCAUCUUUUCUCUGGGUGCACGAUCAUCUUUUCUCUGAGUUCACCAUCGUUGUUUUUAUGGGUUCCCUAUCAUAUUUUUUCUGGGUUAACUGUCAAAUUUUCUCUACAUUGACCAUCGUCUUUUCUCUGGGUUCACUGUCAUCUUUUCUUUGGGUUCACUGUCAUCUCUUCUUUGGGUUUACCGUCGUCUUUUCUCUGGGUUCACCAUCGUCUUUCCUCUGGAUUCACUGUUGUCUUUCCUCUCGGUUUACUGUCGUCUUUUCUGUGGUUUCACCAUUGUCUUUUCUCUGGAUUCACUGUCAUCUUCCCUCCAGGUUCACUGUCUGUUCUCUGAGUUCACUGUUGUAUUUUCUCUGGGUUCACUGUCAUCUUUUCUCUGGGAUCACUGUUGUAUUUUCUCAGGGUGCAAAGUCGUCUUUUCUCUGGAUUCACUGUCGUCUUUUCUCUGGGUUCACUGUCAUAAUUUCUCUGAGUUCACUGUCAUCUUUUCUCUGGGUGCACCAUCAUCUUUUCUCUGGGUUCAUCUUUGGUUUUUUUUCUGGAUUCACUGUCAUCUUUUCUCGGGUGUGCCAUCAUCAUUUCUCUGGGUUCACUGUCAUCCUUUCUCUGGGUUCCUGUCGAAUUUUCUCUACAUUCACCAUUGUCUUUUUCUCUGGGUACACUGUCGUCUUUUCUAUGGGUUCACUGUUGUAUUUUCUCUUGGUUCAACAUUGUCUUUUCUCUGUUUUCACCGUCGUCUUUUCUCUGGGUUCACUGUCAUCUUUUCUCUGGGUUCACUUCGUAUGUUCUAUGGGAUCACCAUUGUCAAUUCUCUGGGUGCACCCUCGUCUUUUUUCUGGGUUCACCAUUGUCAAUUCUCUGUGUUCACUAUCGUAUAUUCUCUGGGUGUACUGUCGUUUUUCCUCUGGGUUCACUGUCAUAUUUUCUCUGGCCCCACAGUUGUAUAUUCUCUGGGUCACCAUUGUCUUUUCCCUGGGUUCACUAUCAUCUUUUCUCUGGGUUCACCGUUGUCUUUGCUCUGGGUUCACAGUUGUCUUUUCUUUAGGUUCGCUGUCAUCUUUUCUCUGGGUUUGCGGUUGUCUUUGCUCCAGGUUCAUCGUCAUCUUUUCUCUGGGUGCACCAUCAUUUCUCUGGGUGCACCGUCAUUUUCUCUCUGGUUGGGUUCACUGUCUUAUUUUAUUUGGGUUCACUGUCGUAUUUUCUUUCGGUUCACUGUCAUAUUCUCUGUGGGUGCACUGUUGUAUUUUCUCUGACUUCACUGUCAUCUUUUUUCUGGGUUUACCAUCAUCUUCACUCUGA
RNAcentral lists this long non-coding RNA (1380 nucleotides) under Pongo abelii (Sumatran orangutan). RNAcentral describes it as "lncRNA (ENSPPYG00000039726.1)". The record is from RNAcentral. Lineage: Eukaryota; Metazoa; Chordata; Mammalia; Primates; Hominidae.